GGCUGCUGCACGCGCUAGUGACUGUUAGGCCUGCUUGUAGCUAACAUUUUGGUUAACAUUAGCAACUUCUGUGGCUUGAGACUGCUAGCUAACAGUAACGGACAGGAAAAGGCUCUGACAGGACGGAUUCAUGCAGAUAGGCUACGAUGUGAAUUUGUGAUGCAACCAACAGGGGCACCAGGCCAGGUCGUGCCCAUCGGCAAUGGAGUGUGACGUGGCGUCAUGUAAUUGGGCAUCAGAAGUGGAUGGGGAUAUGCGGUGGACUACAUUUUUUGGAAAGGGGUAUGCAGCUUAAAAAGAUUGAAAACCCCUGUUCUAAUGGGAUCUGGUACAAUGAAUAUCCUCUACUCAGUGACACACCAGCGUCACUGUGACACAUUUCCCAAUAUUUUCCCCAAAAGUGACAACUAGAAGGCUAACACGAUCCGGAGAUGUCACUUACGGCCAGCACUAAACCUGGACAACACUGCACUACUUGUUCACCUAUAAAUUGUACUUUCACCACAACCACUACAACACUCACUUUGGACUGGUGACCGUGUUUGUGUUUUGUGUGUAUUGGAUUAUUGUUUAUUAUUUGCGAGACUGCAAACCUUAAUUAUUCACUAUUGCCACUAUUGUUUACUGUUUGGUCAUCAAACCCCUUAGAUUAAAAUAAACAGAAACCAUUUCACCCUUA
Molecule: long non-coding RNA, 679 nt
Organism: Acipenser ruthenus (sterlet)
Lineage: Eukaryota; Metazoa; Chordata; Actinopteri; Acipenseriformes; Acipenseridae
Exons: 4
Source: RefSeq, a predicted model, not a curated record